This 109-nucleotide small nucleolar RNA is filed under the name Ictidomys tridecemlineatus (thirteen-lined ground squirrel). RNAcentral describes it as "Spermophilus tridecemlineatus (thirteen-lined ground squirrel) Small nucleolar RNA U13". It matches the Rfam family "Small nucleolar RNA U13". The record is from Rfam by way of RNAcentral. Lineage: Eukaryota; Metazoa; Chordata; Mammalia; Rodentia; Sciuridae.
CUCCUGCUGUGGCCCUGGGGGGGGGCCUGAUGAUUGGGUCCUCAUGCUAUUGUGGGAGAUGGACCUCUCUGGAGCCUGGUUGUGACUUUGGCCCAUUGCCCCUCUGGUG